Non-coding RNA from Leptonychotes weddellii (Weddell seal), 318 nucleotides. Lineage: Eukaryota; Metazoa; Chordata; Mammalia; Carnivora; Phocidae. The record is from RefSeq and is a predicted model, not a curated record.
ACGGAAACAAGAUGACGAAGGGGACGUCAUCGUUUGGAAAGCGUCGCAAUAAGACGCACACGUUGUGCCGCCGCUGUGGCUCGAAGGCCUACCACCUUCAGAAGUCCACCUGUGGCAAAUGCGGCUAUCCCGCCAAGCGCAAGAGCAAGUAUAACUGGAGUGCCAUGGCUAAAAGACAAAACACCACUGGGACGGGUCGAAUGAGGCUCCGCAGAUUCAGGCAUGGAUUCUGUGAAGGAAAAACACCUAAGCCCAAGAGGGCAGCUGUUGCAGCAUCCAGUUCAUCUUAAGGAUUUCAAUGAUUAGUCACACAAUAAA